UGAGUACGAGCUGCUACGGCAGCGAAGUGGGUGAUGUCAUGCUUCCAAGAAAAGCCCUAUACCCGUUAAGGCAUGAUGGCCUGUACCCGAAACCGACACAGGUGGGGUGGUAGAGAAUACCGAGGGGCGCGAGGUAACUCUCUCUAAGGAACUCGGCAAAAUGGCCCCGUAACUUCGGGAGAAGGGGUGCCACCGCAAGGUGGUCGCAGUGAAGAGGCCCAGGCGACUGUUUACCAAAAACACAGGUCUCCGCUAAGUCGCAAGACGAUGUAUGGGGGCUGACGCCUGCCCAGUGCCGGAAGGUUAAGGAAGCUGGUCAGCGUAAGCGAAGCUAGCGACUGAAGCCCCGGUGAACGGCGGCCGUAACUAUAACGGUCCUAAGGUAGCGAAAUUCCUUGUCGGGUAAGUUCCGACCCGCACGAAAGGCGUAACGAUCUGGGCGCUGUCUCGGAGAGAGGCUCGGCGAAAUAGAAUUGUCUGUGAAGAUGCGGACUACGUGCACCCGGACAGAAAGACCCUAUGAAGCUUUACUGUAGCUUGGUAUUGUGCUCGGGCUCGGAAUGCGCAGGAUAGGUGGGAGGCUAUUAACCAUUGCUUGUGGGUGAUGGUGAGCCACUGGUGAGAUACCACUCUUUCCGAGCUAGAGUUCUAACAGCCACCCGUUAUCCGGGGGCUGGACAGUAUCAGGUGGGCAGUUUGACUGGGGCGGUCGCCUCCUAAAAGGUAACGGAGGCGCGCAAAGGUUUGCUCAGGCUGGUUGGAAAUCAGCCGACGAGUGUAAAAGCAGAAGCAAGCUUGACUGUGAGACCUACAAGUCGAACAGGGAGGAAACUCGGCUUUAGUGAUCCGACGGUUCUGCGUGGAAGGGCCGUCGCUCAACGGAUAAAAGUUACUCUAAGGAUAACAGGCUGAUCUCCCCCAAGAGUUCACAUCGACGGGGAGGUUUGGCACCUCGAUGUCGGCUCAUCGCAACCUGGGGCUGAAGUCGGUCCCAAGGGUUGGGCUGUUCGCCCAUUAAAGCGGUACGCGAGCUGGGUUCAGAACGUCGUGAGACAGUUCGGUCCAUAUCCGGUGCAUGCGCAGGAAUAUUGAGAGGAUUUCUCCCUAGUACGAGAGGACCGGGAGGAACGCACCUCUGGUGUACCAGUUAUCGUGCCAACGGUAAACGCUGGGUAGCCAUGUGCGGAGAGGAUAACCGCUGAAAGCAUCUAAGUGGGAAGCCCACCUCAAGAUGAGUAUUCCCAUGGGGUAACCCAGUAAGGUCACGGGAAGAACACCCGUUGAUAGGCUCUACGUGGAAGCGCAGUAAUGUGUGAAGCGGAGGAGUACUAAUAGACCGAGGGCUUGACU
This 1350-nucleotide ribosomal RNA is filed under the name metagenome. Its description in RNAcentral is "bacterial LSU rRNA". It matches the Rfam family "Bacterial large subunit ribosomal RNA", at positions 1564 to 2925 of the family's 2925-position model. The record is from RNAcentral.